RNAcentral lists this ribosomal RNA (2902 nucleotides) under Shigella boydii 5216-82. RNAcentral's name for it is "bacterial LSU rRNA". It matches the Rfam family "Bacterial large subunit ribosomal RNA". The record is from RNAcentral. Lineage: Bacteria; Pseudomonadati; Pseudomonadota; Gammaproteobacteria; Enterobacterales; Enterobacteriaceae.
UUAAGCGACUAAGCGUACACGGUGGAUGCCCUGGCAGUCAGAGGCGAUGAAGGACGUGCUAAUCUGCGAUAAGCGUCGGUAAGGUGAUAUGAACCGUUAUAACCGGCGAUUUCCGAAUGGGGAAACCCAGUGUGUUUCGACACACUAUCAUUAACUGAAUCCAUAGGUUAAUGAGGCGAACCGGGGGAACUGAAACAUCUAAGUACCCCGAGGAAAAGAAAUCAACCGAGAUUCCCCCAGUAGCGGCGAGCGAACGGGGAGCAGCCCAGAGCCUGAAUCAGUGUGUGUGUUAGUGGAAGCGUCUGGAAAGGCGCGCGAUACAGGGUGACAGCCCCGUACACAAAAAUGCACAUGCUGUGAGCUCGAUGAGUAGGGCGGGACACGUGGUAUCCUGUCUGAAUAUGGGGGGACCAUCCUCCAAGGCUAAAUACUCCUGACUGACCGAUAGUGAACCAGUACCGUGAGGGAAAGGCGAAAAGAACCCCGGCGAGGGGAGUGAAAAAGAACCUGAAACCGUGUACGUACAAGCAGUGGGAGCCUCUUUAUGGGGUGACUGCGUACCUUUUGUAUAAUGGGUCAGCGACUUAUAUUCUGUAGCAAGGUUAACCGAAUAGGGGAGCCGAAGGGAAACCGAGUCUUAACUGGGCGUUAAGUUGCAGGGUAUAGACCCGAAACCCGGUGAUCUAGCCAUGGGCAGGUUGAAGGUUGGGUAACACUAACUGGAGGACCGAACCGACUAAUGUUGAAAAAUUAGCGGAUGACUUGUGGCUGGGGGUGAAAGGCCAAUCAAACCGGGAGAUAGCUGGUUCUCCCCGAAAGCUAUUUAGGUAGCGCCUCGUGAAUUCAUCUCCGGGGGUAGAGCACUGUUUCGGCAAGGGGGUCAUCCCGACUUACCAACCCGAUGCAAACUGCGAAUACCGGAGAAUGUUAUCACAGGAGACACACGGCGGGUGCUAACGUCCGUCGUGAAGAGGGAAACAACCCAGACCGCCAGCUAAGGUCCCAAAGUCAUGGUUAAGUGGGAAACGAUGUGGGAAGGCCCAGACAGCCAGGAUGUUGGCUUAGAAGCAGCCAUCAUUUAAAGAAAGCGUAAUAGCUCACUGGUCGAGUCGGCCUGCGCGGAAGAUGUAACGGGGCUAAACCAUGCACCGAAGCUGCGGCAGCGACGCUUAUGCGUUGUUGGGUAGGGGAGCGUUCUGUAAGCCUGUGAAGGUGUGCUGUGAAGGCAUGCUGGAGGUAUCAGAAGUGCGAAUGCUGACAUAAGUAACGAUAAAGCGGGUGAAAAGCCCGCUCGCCGGAAGACCAAGGGUUCCUGUCCAACGUUAAUCGGGGCAGGGUGAGUCGACCCCUAAGGCGAGGCCGAAAGGCGUAGUCGAUGGGAAACAGGUUAAUAUUCCUGUACUUGGUGUUACUGCGAAGGGGGGACGGAGAAGGCUAUGUUGGCCGGGCGACGGUUGUCCCGGUUUAAGCGUGUAGGCUGAUUUUCCAGGCAAAUCCGGAAAAUCAAGGCUGAGGCGUGAUGACGAGGCACUACGGUGCUGAAGCAACAAAUGCCCUGCUUCCAGGAAAAGCCUCUAAGCAUCAGGUAACAUCAAAUCGUACCCCAAACCGACACAGGUGGUCAGGUAGAGAAUACCAAGGCGCUUGAGAGAACUCGGGUGAAGGAACUAGGCAAAAUGGUGCCGUAACUUCGGGAGAAGGCACGCUGAUAUGUAGGUGAAGUCCCUCGCGGAUGGAGCUGAAAUCAGUCGAAGAUACCAGCUGGCUGCAACUGUUUAUUAAAAACACAGCACUGUGCAAACACGAAAGUGGACGUAUACGGUGUGACGCCUGCCCGGUGCCGGAAGGUUAAUUGAUGGGGUCAGCGCAAGCGAAGCUCUUGAUCGAAGCCCCGGUAAACGGCGGCCGUAACUAUAACGGUCCUAAGGUAGCGAAAUUCCUUGUCGGGUAAGUUCCGACCUGCACGAAUGGCGUAAUGAUGGCCAGGCUGUCUCCACCCGAGACUCAGUGAAAUUGAACUCGCUGUGAAGAUGCAGUGUACCCGCGGCAAGACGGAAAGACCCCGUGAACCUUUACUAUAGCUUGACACUGAACAUUGAGCCUUGAUGUGUAGGAUAGGUGGGAGGCUUUGAAGUGUGGACGCCAGUCUGCAUGGAGCCGGCCUUGAAAUACCACCCUUUAAUGUUUGAUGUUCUAACGUGGACCCGUAAUCCGGGUUGCGGACAGUGUCUGGUGGGUAGUUUGACUGGGGCGGUCUCCUCCUAAAGAGUAACGGAGGAGCACGAAGGUUGGCUAAUCCUGGUCGGACAUCAGGAGGUUAGUGCAAUGGCAUAAGCCAGCUUGACUGCGAGCGUGACGGCGCGAGCAGGUGCGAAAGCAGGUCAUAGUGAUCCGGUGGUUCUGAAUGGAAGGGCCAUCGCUCAACGGAUAAAAGGUACUCCGGGGAUAACAGGCUGAUACCGCCCAAGAGUUCAUAUCGACGGCGGUGUUUGGCACCUCGAUGUCGGCUCAUCACAUCCUGGGGCUGAAGUAGGUCCCAAGGGUAUGGCUGUUCGCCAUUUAAAGCGGUACGCGAGCUGGGUUUAGAACGUCGUGAGACAGUUCGGUCCCUAUCUGCCGUGGGCGCUGGAGAACUGAGGGGGGCUGCUCCUAGUACGAGAGGACCGGAGUGGACGCAUCACUGGUGUUCGGGUUGUCAUGCCAAUGGCACUGCCCGGUAGCUAAAUGCGGAAGAGAUAAGUGCUGAAAGCAUCUAAGCACGAAACUUGCCCCGAGAUGAGUUCUCCCUGACCCUUUAAGGGUCCUGAAGGAACGUUGAAGACGACGACGUUGAUAGGCCGGGUGUGUAAGCGCAGCGAUGCGUUGAGCUAACCGGUACUAAUGAACCGUGAGGCUUAACCUU